UAUCUAUCUAUCUCCGUCUAUCAAUCUGUCUAUCUCCGUCUAUCUAUCUAUCAAUCUGUCUAUCUCCGUCUAUCUAUCUAUCUCUGUCUAUCUAUAUAUCUAUCUAUCGAUCUAUCUCCGUCUCUCUAUCUAUCUAAUUACAAUAACAAUAAUGCAUAAACAAGCUUCAAGGCUAUGCUACGACUCUUUCAGUACAUAAUAUACUGUGGUAACCUUAAGUAGAUAAAGAUGUUCAGACUUUAAGAUGCCAUCUUGACUUUAGUCAGGGAAAUUUCCAUGACGUGUACACCCAUUAGUUUUGGCCAAGUUAAGGGAGGUCCUAAAAUGAAUAAAAGUAAAAGAAGUUACUUUUUCAUAUAUGAACUACGGUGACCCUAAAAUGAAGACACCUAAGGUAUAAAUAGGUGUACUUUUAAAUGUAAAGACACAGACAGAGGAGAGACAUGGAGACAGACGCCGCUCCAUCUAAAAAUGACAGAGAGGCUGACAUAAUGACAUGUUCAGAAGGGUAUGUUAAUCUAUUAUUGAUAUUUGCGAGCAUUUAGUUUAAUCUUAUAAACUCUGCUAUAA
Non-coding RNA from Pelobates cultripes (western spadefoot toad), 570 nucleotides. Lineage: Eukaryota; Metazoa; Chordata; Amphibia; Anura; Pelobatidae. The record is from the annotation of a GenBank genome assembly.